CUGCGUAGGUGGCACCACUAGCACAUACAGUAAACAAACCUCAUUGACAUCAUCAAAGACACAUCAUGCGUCUAGUGACGCAUGUGAUUGACCUAGUGGUCAAUCAUAUGGCCUACCGUGAAACACGACAGUCGAAAGUUCGGCUUCGGCCUCUCUAUCACUCUUGCUUAUUCGAUCGAUAGAGAGGCCACCAGGCCACCUGUAAACAAACUGCUUUGGUGCAUCAAUGUCAUAGUGAAAACUUGUCAAAAAACUGUUUAAGGCCUAGUAUGUAUAAGUUACUCUAUGGUUUACUAAACAAAUUAGUGCUGCACUCUGGCGGCAGAACAUUGCAGUAAUACUCCCUAUUACGUUUAUCAGUUUAUGAUCACAAUUAACACCCCAGUUAACCACAAAAUAUGUGGAAAGACCGUUACGGUAUAUUUAUCGGCAAAAGCUAUUUUUUUACAACUAGCGAGGUAAUGUAAAGCGUUCAUCACAUUCCAAAUCACUACUUAUAUUAUAAUCAGAUAAAUUAUAAACUGUAAAAAUACCUAUGUAACGGAACCGCACUGAGCAUUUUUUUACGGCGAGUGGCAUAUUAAUAAGGCUAUUUGAGACCCGUGGGGUUAUUUGGAAACGCAUUGAAUGUUAAUACCGUAAAACGGGGUGACUUGAACUCUUCGAUUUUUCUUUAUUUUGUUUUUAACAGUUUACCAAAACUUAUCAAUAUAGCUAACUAGGUAAGAAUUAUAACUAACUAAAACUAAUAAUGAUCGAGUACGGUUUUUAACUGACAAACGUACGAGUAUCUCUACCAACGCCGAUUAAAAAGUAAAAUAGAAUCGGGUAAAUCGAACGUAAUGUCCCUUAUUCAUAAAACUUUACGGGCCUGAUUAGUUAAAUUAUGUUGUAUCCCUUUCUUACAAUUACAUAAGCCAUAAUGACAGAUAAGGACAAACUAUUAUUAGCUAAUUGAGGUUUGUGGCGCGUUUAUGAAUAACGUAAGUCCCGACUGGUGUUUUUAAUAAACGAUUUGAAACGAAGUUGACUCCUUAUUUUCAAUAAAAUCACCCCGAAUCAGGUAGGUACCAUUUUAAAUGCUAAUUUCGUUUCCUGUUGUUUCAAAUAACCCCAGGGGAGGGGUCACAUUCUCGACCACACAUUUUAACCCUAUACCAGGCUGACAGUUCAAAAAUGACAAUCGAAUUUCAGUCUUACUGAUCGAAAAUAGAACACAUGUUUGAAAUGCCGUAUGUGGGAAGUAUAUAUCCCUUAGCCUGGUUAAGGGUUAAAAUAUUCGUCGUUGCGACAAGUUAUACUUUUGUACACUUCACAACAGUUGCAGACGUUGCAGUGUCUUCUAAAAACCAUUUCAAGUUCACAUUAUUUACAUUAUUGCUACUAUAUAUUAUAUAGAAACUGUCGUAUCACUUCGAUAUUAUUUACCUAAUGGGUAAAUUAUGUGUUGCAAUGUUUAACAGAAUAUAACUAUUUCUUGCACAUAGUUACACUUAUGAUUAUAACCAAUGAGCUAACUAUUACCAGCUAUUACUUACUGAAUUUCCGGCAUUAUUAAGAUGCAAUAAAUGUCCUAUGCAUAAUCACUUGUAUAAAAUAGGAUUAAGACAUGUAAAAUGGGGUGAGUUAGCCAACGAAUUACCAAUUAUUCAAUUUGUAUACCCGUAUUUAUCAUUAUUUUCCGGGAUCGAAUAACUCAAUGUAAUGAAGAAAAUAUUUAUUAAGUAUAAUACUUUUAAGACUAGCUAGGUGUCUAAGUAGCCCCGUUUAUACUAAUGGCUAAUGUCACCCCAUUUUACAAAAGCAACAGCAACAAAUAAUAUAAAUGUCGCAGCCAUUUGGUUAAGUUAGCCAGCUAAUCAGUCGCCUAGGCCGAUAGAAAAUCACCUUGACAUAUGGGCCUAUGAAAACUUAAAAACUUAAAGAAAUGAAAUGAAAUAAAAUAAUAAUAAUUAAUACAUCACAACACCUUAUAAAACAAAGUCCCUCGCCGCGUCUGUUUGUAUGUUCGCGAUAAACUCAAAAAACUACUGAACCGAUUUUCAUGCGGUUUUCACCAAUCAAUAGAGUGAUUUUUGAGGAAGGUUUAAAUGUAUAAAUUGUUAACCCGUGCGAAGCCGGGGCGGGUCGAUAGUUUACAAUGAAAUAUUAACCAAAAUAACUAAAUGACUACACGACGGGCCGGCAUCUCGUUAAACGUUGCGAUCAAUGACUUGGCUGGUUGUUCUUCAGCCAACUAAUUA
Molecule: long non-coding RNA, 2243 nt
Organism: Cydia splendana
Lineage: Eukaryota; Metazoa; Arthropoda; Insecta; Lepidoptera; Tortricidae
Exons: 3
Source: RefSeq, a predicted model, not a curated record